GAUGAACGCUAGCUACAGGCUUAACACAUGCAAGUCGAGGGGAAACGAUAUUGGAAGCUUGCUUCCGAUAGGCGUCGACCGGCGCACGGGUGAGUAACGCGUAUCCAACCUGCCCACCACUUGGGGAUAACCUUGCGAAAGUAAGACUAAUACCCAAUGAUAUCUCUAGAAGACAUCUGAAGUAGAUUAAAGAUUCAUCGGUGAUGGAUGGGGAUGCGUCUGAUUAGCUUGUUGGCGGGGUAACGGCCCACCAAGGCGACGAUCAGUAGGGGUUGUGAGAGGAAGGUCCCCCACAUUGGACCCGAGACACGGUCCAAACGCCUACGGGAGGCAGCAGUGAGGAAUAUUGGUCAAUGGGCGAGAGACUGAACCAGCCAAGUAGCGUGCAGGAUGACGGCCCUAUGGGUUGUAAACUGCUUUUAUAAGGGAAUAAAGUGAGUCUCGUGAGACUUUUUGCAUGUACCUUAUGAAUAAGGACCGGCUAAUUCCGUGCCAGCCGCCGCCGUAA
RNAcentral lists this ribosomal RNA (508 nucleotides) under uncultured bacterium. RNAcentral describes it as "partial 16S ribosomal RNA". It matches the Rfam family "Bacterial small subunit ribosomal RNA", at positions 28 to 523 of the family's 1533-position model. The record is from RNAcentral.